AAGGAUGGAUCCUUGCGGAUCAGAAGAGAAGAUCAGAGUAGCGCAGUGGAAGCAGGAGGAGUUUUAGGAGAAAGUUUAGAGGUCUUGCUUGCUUGAUUGCUUGCUUGAUGUGUAUGUACGAUGAUAUGUUCUUAUGUUAUGUUUUUAUGCAUGAGUAGUUGAGGAACAUUCGGGGACGAAUGUUCUGUAAGGGGGGAAGAAUGUAAUACCCGGCUAGAAUCNNN
Molecule: long non-coding RNA, 224 nt
Filed under: Manihot esculenta (cassava)
Lineage: Eukaryota; Viridiplantae; Streptophyta; Magnoliopsida; Malpighiales; Euphorbiaceae
Description: long non-coding RNA (MESC_LNC005953)
Source: RNAcentral